RNAcentral lists this transfer RNA (18 nucleotides) under Litoria tornieri (black-shinned rocketfrog). RNAcentral describes it as "partial tRNA-Ser". RNAcentral also lists the same sequence under 1 other name. Lineage: Eukaryota; Metazoa; Chordata; Amphibia; Anura; Pelodryadidae. The record is from RNAcentral.
AGAUCAUAUGGUAGUACA